RNAcentral lists this ribosomal RNA (542 nucleotides) under Vibrio harveyi. RNAcentral describes it as "bacterial SSU rRNA". It matches the Rfam family "Bacterial small subunit ribosomal RNA", at positions 1 to 525 of the family's 1533-position model. Lineage: Bacteria; Pseudomonadati; Pseudomonadota; Gammaproteobacteria; Vibrionales; Vibrionaceae. The record is from RNAcentral.
UGGAGAGUUUGAUCCUGGCUCAGAUUGAACGCUGGCGGCAGGCCUAACACAUGCAAGUCGAGCGGAAACGAGUUAUCUGAACCUUCGGGGAACGAUAACGGCGUCGAGCGGCGGACGGGUGAGUAAUGCCUAGGAAAUUGCCCUGAUGUGGGGGAUAACCAUUGGAAACGAUGGCUAAUACCGCAUAAUACCUACGGGUCAAAGAGGGGGACCUUCGGGCCUCUCGCGUCAGGAUAUGCCUAGGUGGGAUUAGCUAGUUGGUGAGGUAAUGGCUCACCAAGGCGACGAUCCCUAGCUGGUCUGAGAGGAUGAUCAGCCACACUGGAACUGAGACACGGUCCAGACUCCUACGGGAGGCAGCAGUGGGGAAUAUUGCACAAUGGGCGCAAGCCUGAUGCAGCCAUGCCGCGUGUGUGAAGAAGGCCUUCGGGUUGUAAAGCACUUUCAGUCGUGAGGAAGGUAGUGUAGUUAAUAGCUGCAUUAUUUGACGUUAGCGACAGAAGAAGCACCGGCUAACUCCGUGCCAGCAGCCGCGGGUAAUA